GGAAGAGAAGUUAGAAGCGACUGGACGCAGCGGAUUUCCCUGUGUUUUAUAUUAAAACUACUGUAUAUAGAAAUGUUACAGUGGCACAGUCGACAGUUUUAACUAAGUUUAUGAUUACAAAAGAUCCUGAUUUCAAGGUUAUCAACUGCCAGAUUGGAGAUAAGAUGUAUGACAUUAGGCCAGAAUUCCAAGCGCUGGACUACCACGAAGACAUUAAUAAUUCUAGUGAAGUCAAGCAGGCUUGUGAUGAAAUGGUACGUAGGAGAACUAUUACUUUACGUUUAAAUGAAGAUCAGAUAUUCAAUUAUGUCCAUUUCUUGGCCGUGCCAGUCAAAAUAGCUUAGUCUGGCCCUUCAGAUGUAAAA
This 365-nucleotide long non-coding RNA is filed under the name Androctonus crassicauda. Lineage: Eukaryota; Metazoa; Arthropoda; Arachnida; Scorpiones; Buthidae. The record is from RNAcentral.